Syzygium oleosum is the source of this 875-nucleotide RNA transcript. It is a transcript of the gene named aspartate--tRNA ligase 2, cytoplasmic-like, with no coding region annotated. The transcript is spliced from 4 exons. The record is from RefSeq and is a predicted model, not a curated record. Lineage: Eukaryota; Viridiplantae; Streptophyta; Magnoliopsida; Myrtales; Myrtaceae.
AGGUACUGGACAUUAUGGACAAGUUGUUCGUUACAAUGUUCGACUCAUUGAAUGCGAGUUGCAAGAAAGAACUUGAAGCUAUUGGAAGACAAUACCCCUUUGAACCUUUAAAGUACUUGAGAAAGACCUUGUGGCUUACUUUUCAAGAAGAUGUUCAAAUGCUCAAGCUCAUAGCAUCUGAAUAUAUUUUACUCGUAUUCUUGCAAUGCAAAGGAAAAGAGGCAAUAGAUUCUAAGAAGCAAAUGUGAUUUGGUAUGUUAACCUAUAUUGGCAUAUUGUAUUGGGCUACAUAGCUUAGCUGGGUCAAAGCUGAUGUGAUUGGUUCCAUCUUUUUCCUCUCCUUGCUUUUAGUCGUGGGGCUUGGGUUUUUGAGGAUGGGAAUGAAUGGGGCAAUCAAGAGUCCAAAACCCUUCUUUUGUCUUCUGGUUUUGGGGGUUGCACCAGGUGUUAUUUGCUUUUUUAGAAAAUACCCUGUGGGAGAAUUAUGGCUUCAUUCAAAAUGAUUGAUUAUUUGAAUGCAGUGAUACCUGCUUAGAAUCAUGCAUUUGUGGAAAGUCAUGUGUAUUGUUCUUUGCACGUUGCGGGUGCUGGAAGCACUCCACUUCAUUAUGCUGCUUGUGGUGGAAGUGUGCAGUGUUGUCAGAAGAAUAGCUUUGAGCAAUUCUGCAUAAGUUAUGCAAAUGAGAGGUUGCAACAACAUUUCAACCGGCAUUUGUUAAAACUGGAGCAGGAAGUGAGCAUCUCACAUGGACCGUGUCUUUAGUUUUGUUUAGUAUUUUAUAUGAUGGGGAUUGUCGCUAAAAGCAGGAUAUUCUUUUUUGAUUCAAAUCUGUCGUCAUUAUUUAUUGUGAAAGAUUAUUGUGCAAGAUUAUUUA